UCUCCGUUGGUGAACCAGCGGAGGGAUCAUUGCUGGAACGCGCCCCAGGCGCACCCAGAAACCCUUUGUGAACUUAUACCUUACUGUUGCCUCGGCGCUAGCUGGUCCUUCGGGGCCCCUCACCCUCGGGUGUUGAGACAGCCCGCCGGCGGCCAACCCAACUCUUGUUUUUACACUGAAACUCUGAGAAUAAAACAUAAAUGAAUCAAAACUUUCAACAACGGAUCUCUUGGUUCUGGCAUCGAUGAAGAACGCAGCGAAAUGCGAUAAGUAAUGUGAAUUGCAGAAUUCAGUGAAUCAUCGAAUCUUUGAACGCACAUUGCGCCCUCUGGUAUUCCGGAGGGCAUGCCUGUUCGAGCGUCAUUUCAACCCUCAAGCCUGGCUUGGUGAUGGGGCACUGCUUUUACCCAAGAGCAGGCCCUGAAAUUCAGUGGCGAGCUCGCCAGGACCCCGAGCGCAGUAGUUAAACCCUCGCUCUGGAAGGCCCUGGCGGUGCCCUGCCGUUAAACCCCCAACUUCUGAAAAUUUGACCUCGGAUCAGGUAGGAAUACCCGCUGAACUUAA
This 564-nucleotide ribosomal RNA is filed under the name Phomopsis sp. ISPaVe ER1640. Its description in RNAcentral is "eukaryotic LSU rRNA". The stretch from base 210 to 363 matches the Rfam family "5.8S ribosomal RNA". Lineage: Eukaryota; Fungi; Ascomycota; Sordariomycetes; Diaporthales; Diaporthaceae. The record is from RNAcentral.